GAACGCUGGCGGCGUGCCUAAUACAUGCAAGUCGAGCGAACAGAUAAGGAGCUUGCUCCUUUGACGUUAGCGGCGGACGGGUGAGUAACACGUGGGUAACCUACCUAUAAGACUGGGACAACUUCGGGAAACCGGAGCUAAUACCGGAUAAUAUGUUGAACCGCAUGGUUCAAUAGUGAAAGAUGGUUUUGCUAUCACUUAUAGAUGGACCCGCGCCGUAUUAGCUAGUUGGUGAGGUAACGGCUCACCAAGGCAACGAUACGUAGCCGACCUGAGAGGGUGAUCGGCCACACUGGAACUGAGACACGGUCCAGACUCCUACGGGAGGCAGCAGUAGGGAAUCUUCCGCAAUGGGCGAAAGCCUGACGGAGCAACGCCGCGUGAGUGAUGAAGGUCUUAGGAUCGUAAAACUCUGUUAUUAGGGAAGAACAAACGUGUAAGUAACUGUGCACGUCUUGACGGUACCUAAUCAGAAAGCCACGGCUAACUACGUGCCAGCAGCCGCGGUAAUACGUAGGUGGCAAGCGUUAUCCGGAAUUAUUGGGCGUAAAGCGCGCGUAGGCGGUUUUUUAAGUCUGAUGUGAAAGCCCACGGCUCAACCGUGGAGGGUCAUUGGAAACUGGAAAACUUGAGUGCAGAAGAGGAAAGUGGAAUUCCAUGUGUAGCGGUGAAAUGCGCAGAGAUAUGGAGGAACACCAGUGGCGAAGGCGACUUUCUGGUCUGUAACUGACGCUGAUGUGCGAAAGCGUGGGGAUCAAACAGGAUUAGAUACCCUGGUAGUCCACGCCGUAAACGAUGAGUGCUAAGUGUUAGGGGGUUUCCGCCCCUUAGUGCUGCAGCUAACGCAUUAAGCACUCCGCC
RNAcentral lists this ribosomal RNA (861 nucleotides) under Staphylococcus lugdunensis. RNAcentral describes it as "bacterial SSU rRNA". It matches the Rfam family "Bacterial small subunit ribosomal RNA", at positions 31 to 873 of the family's 1533-position model. Lineage: Bacteria; Bacillati; Bacillota; Bacilli; Caryophanales; Staphylococcaceae. The record is from RNAcentral.